RNAcentral lists this transfer RNA (76 nucleotides) under Microlunatus elymi. RNAcentral describes it as "Microlunatus sp. KUDC0627 tRNA-Ala". It matches the Rfam family "tRNA". Rfam says of the family: Transfer RNA (tRNA) molecules are approximately 80 nucleotides in length. Lineage: Bacteria; Bacillati; Actinomycetota; Actinomycetes; Propionibacteriales; Propionibacteriaceae. The record is from RNAcentral.
GGGGCUAUGGCGCAGUUGGUAGCGCGUUUCCAUGGCAUGGAAAAGGUCAGGGGUUCGAAUCCCCUUAGCUCCACCG